GAUGAACGCUGGCGGCGUGCCUAAUACAUGCAAGUCGAGCGAACAGACGAGGAGCUUGCUCCUCUGACGUUAGCGGCGGACGGGUGAGUAACACGUGGAUAACCUACCUAUAAGACUGGGAUAACUUCGUGAAACCGGAGCUAAUACCGGAUAAUAUAUUGAACCGCAUGGUUCAAUAGUGAAAGACGGUUUUGCUGUCACUUAUAGAUGGAUCCGCGCCGCAUUAGCUAGUUGGUAAGGUAACGGCUUACCAAGGCAACGAUGCGUAGCCGACCUGAGAGGGUGAUCGGCCACACUGAAACUGAGACACGGUCCAGACUCCUACGGGAGGCAGCAGUAGGGAAUCUUCCGAAAUGGGCGAAAGCCUGACGGAGCAACGCCGCGUGAGUGAUGAAGGUCUUCGGAUCGUAAAACUCUGUUAUUAGGGAAGAACAAAUGUGUAAGUAACUAUGCACGUCUUGACGGUACCUAAUCAGAAAGCCACGGCUAACUACGUG
RNAcentral lists this ribosomal RNA (497 nucleotides) under uncultured bacterium. RNAcentral's name for it is "partial 16S ribosomal RNA". It matches the Rfam family "Bacterial small subunit ribosomal RNA", at positions 28 to 507 of the family's 1533-position model. The record is from RNAcentral.